Molecule: long non-coding RNA, 606 nt
Filed under: Mytilus galloprovincialis (Mediterranean mussel)
Lineage: Eukaryota; Metazoa; Mollusca; Bivalvia; Mytilida; Mytilidae
Source: RNAcentral
CCAUAUCCAGAAAUCAACGCCACUUUGCUCAUUUGAAUAUUAUACUAAUAAAAUCGGAUACGGGUCACGGAAAUUAUAUUGAAAUGAUAGGGAUUUUUGAAAAAAUGUCUAUUUUAACUUUAAUUUAAGUGAUAGACAGGUUGCCGUGACAGAAAAUAAAUAUACACAACAAUAUACACCAUUUAAACGAAACAUAAUGACUGUCGUUGCAAAAAUCAAGGUUCCUGAGCUAUUUUGAAAAUCGAAGCGAGAGGCUUUUAACAUUGCAGUAUAAAAUACAGGCUAAAAUGGCUGAAACGUCAAAUUUGCAAACUUCGUGUUGAAAAUUGGCUAACAAGGUCAUUAGAAAAACAAGUUGCCGGGGUGAAACUUCAAACUUGGAUGUCCAAAGAAUAAGCAAGUCCAAACCUUGUAUGUGUAGUCGUUGAAAUCUAGGUUCCCACGUAAAGUUAAAAUACCAAUAUUUUAAGAAGAAUAAACUCACGAGAACACGAAAAAUUCACUUAAUUCGCGUUCAUUGUUUUGAUUUUGACCGCCUAGCAACUUUACGGAAAUAUCAGAAUGAUUAUAAACAAGGACUCUGUGACGGGCAACUUAUAAUAUCCG